CACGUAGUUAGCCGGGGCUUCUUAGUCAGGUACCGUCAUCUUCUUCCCUGCUGAUAGAGCUUUACAUACCGAAAUACUUCUUCACUCACGCGGCGUCGCUGCAUCGGGGUUUCCCCCAUUGUGCAAUAUUCCCCACUGCUGCCUCCCGUAGGAGUUUGGGCCGUGUCUCAGUCCCAAUGUGGCCGGUCACUCUCUCAAGCCGGCUACUGAUCGCUGCCUUGGUAGGCCGUUACCCUGCCAACUAGCUAAUCAGACGCGGGCCCAUCCUGUACCACCGGAGUUUUUCACACCGUGCCAUGCGGCACUGUGCGCUUAUGCGGUAUUAGCACCCAUUUCUGGGUGUUAUCCCCCGGUACAGGGCAGGUUGCCCACGCGUUACUCACCCGUCCGCCACUCAGUCAUACCCCUCUUCCGCCCGGAGGCUUCCGUGGUGUAUGCUUCGUUCGACUUGCAUGUGUUAGGCACGCCGCCAGCGUUCAUCCUGAGCCAGGAUCAAACUCU
This 501-nucleotide ribosomal RNA is filed under the name uncultured Lachnospiraceae bacterium. Its description in RNAcentral is "partial 16S ribosomal RNA". Lineage: Bacteria; Bacillati; Bacillota; Clostridia; Lachnospirales; Lachnospiraceae. The record is from RNAcentral.